CCAAAAACGUGUCACAAUGUUAAAGUCAGAUACUACACUUGUAGCGGAAACUGAAAAAAAAGCCCUCCACCAAACCAAAAACCUGAAGAAGGGAAAAGCACUUGAACGUUUGGUUUCUGUAAUGGAAAUUUGUAGUGCAUUAUGUUUUUGACACGGAGCAUGAGUCUCUUUGCCAUGUUUCUGAACAAGAAAACCGAUCAAGUUAUUGAUUGGACCCAGGCUCCCCCUUUUAACAUGCAAAGUUUUACAGAGAACGAUGAUCUUCCAUGUUCUGAGUUUUGGGAAGUUAGCAAAGUAAUCAACCCUUUUUUCCUUCUGUUUGUUUUGCUAUAAAAAAUUUGUACUUUAUGGGUUUUGCUAAGGUUUGAAAAAGGAAGCAAGUUAUCUUCGUGAGAGGGAAGCAAGAUAGAAAGAUGUUGUUUUGAGUCUGGUUACCGGGAAAGAUCAUCUACGGCUGAAGAUGAUGCCCACAAUACGGAGAUCAUCCUGGCCAUUAAUCACGCUCUGAUCAUGCGGUCAUGAUUCAUCCACUACACUUAUGUUUUUGUCUCCUUAGAAUCCAAGAACACAACAAACAGUAUGAAACGGAUUUGAUAUUUUGUGUGGAGGUCACUGUACAAGCCCUGAUUCACACCGUGCGAGGCAACAUCUGCUCCUCCUUUCAAUGUGUUGGACUUGAGCAUUGCUAUUAAUUCUCAGUAUUCCUCUACAGGUUGUUUUGUAUGUUAUAGCCAUGGUAGUUUUUGAUCAUCAAAAUGGUGAGGCUUGUAAAGAUGGAACAGAUAAUUUGCUUAUAUAUAGCGCCUAUUUUCAAAGGUGAGUUAUUAUUCAUGUGUUGUUUUUGCAUUGAAAUUCAAUUGUGCUAAAUUGGGAUACUUUAUUACUAGUAUUUAAAGAUAGGGGGCCAAGUGAGUGGGUAUCAGACUCAAGUCCCAAAUCGUCUACAUCAUAAAAGAAACUAUACUGCUUACGUAUAAAAUGAAAGGACCUCUACAAAUGAUAGAUACGGAGCCGUGUGAUGAUGACAUAGCGAACUAUUCUUUCGCCUUUUACUAAAGAAUACCGUGUCAGCGUCACAAUUAGCGGCAUACGCUAGUUUUUGGAAGAGUCCUCUUCAUUGAGGGCUCUGCAACAUUAGUUCAAGUUUGUGCCUGAGCCUUCUUCAUUGAAGGCUCUGCAAAAUUGGGUAAGGUUUGGUCUGUGUUUGGUUCAUUGUUGUACUUUGGCUAUUUGCCACUAAUUAGAAUUAGAUUGUGGACUGAUAUACAAAUGUGUGGUUAAGUUGUUUAUCUUCAAAAGCCGUAAGUUAAGUGGGUUCAACUUUAUAACCCAAGAAUGAUUCACACCUUGUGAGGCCACCUUUUAAUAUGUUAGACUUUGAGCAUUGGUGUUAAUCCUUAAUAUUCCUCUACAGUUUGUUUCUGAGCUAUCUACUUCAACAUAAUUACUUCCAGUACUAAUAGCUUUUAUUCUUACAGCCCACAAUAUUAUGAUGUAUGUAUGACUAAAUUUUAAAUUUUAUAGGGGAGUGUACACCACAAGGAAUUCAAUAAAGUAUCAAAUUGCUGUAGUAUCCUCUCAAAUUUAAGACAGGUUUAGAUGUCUACAUUUUGUUGAGCAAGGAGAUAUGCUCCUAUUUUGUAGUCUUUUCCCUCGUCUAAAUACUGUAUUGAAUGAUAAAUUGCAACAUAACCAAACUCACACCAUCUAAUACCCCAUAUGAAUCCCCUUGUCAUUUUGUGGCUGGACUAGAAGGAAGUAAAUAUCAACAACUUUGGUGACUGGCGUAUUUUACUACUGUAAUGUUAUUUUCUUGUCUUAGUUUUUGAACCAGUUAGAUCUCUUUUUCUCAACUUUAUUCUUUGCGGUUGUCUUAGUUGUUAGAUUUGUUUAUGGACAAGAAUGAUGGGUGAGGACUUCAUGGUAAAAUUUCCUAGUCCCACACUGCUAAUGAGAGAAAUUAGAUGACUUUGAAGUUAUAUAUAAAAGGAAGUUAGUUCUAUUCAAAAACUAUCUUUGCGCUUGGGGCAAUGACGCAGCUAGUGAGGUUCUAACCGAGGCGCGUCUAUUGCUGGUUGAAAACUAUUUCCAAACCCCCUCUUAGGCUUGGGUUCAACUCAAGCCUUUGAGAAUUUUUGAAAGGACUCCCUUAGGGGUAAAGUCCUGCAAA
This is a long non-coding RNA of Lathyrus oleraceus (garden pea), 2170 nucleotides long. RefSeq lists it as uncharacterized. Lineage: Eukaryota; Viridiplantae; Streptophyta; Magnoliopsida; Fabales; Fabaceae. The transcript has 4 exons. The record is from RefSeq and is a predicted model, not a curated record.